RNAcentral lists this non-coding RNA (87 nucleotides) under Azoarcus sp. RNAcentral's name for it is "Glycine sequence". It matches the Rfam family "Glycine riboswitch aptamer". From Rfam's summary of the family: This family represents the bacterial glycine riboswitch. Glycine riboswitches usually consist of two metabolite-binding aptamers domains with similar structures in tandem. RNAcentral also lists the same sequence under 1 other name. Lineage: Bacteria; Pseudomonadati; Pseudomonadota; Betaproteobacteria; Rhodocyclales; Zoogloeaceae. The record is from RNAcentral.
GCCCGUCGUGCGGGAGAGAACUCCCCCUCGGAGUCGCCGAAGGCGUAACCCCCCGGAAUCGCUCAGGCAAAAGGACCGCCGACAGAA